UCUUAUCCUAUACUUACUUUCUAGCCCGUAUGACGUGUAUUUCACUAUUAAUUACUUUGCAGGAGCUCUGGAUUCCCUUAAGACAGUGAUGCUGGGCUGAAGAAUCUUUUAAUGGUACCCUUAUUAUUAAAUUGCCUUAAAAAGAAUGGAAUGUAUGGGCCAAAUUCUUAUCCUAAACUUACUUCCUAGGCUUCAUAACGUGUAUUUUACUAUUGUUUGCCUUGCAGGAGCCCUGGAUUCCCUCAAAACUGAUGCUGGGCUGAAGGAUCUCUUGCUACAGAUGGAGGGAGGAGACUGUGUCCUUUCUACACAUUUUCAGGGCGUCUACUCUGUCCAUACAUACCUUGUAGGAAAUAACAAUAGUAAAAGUAGUAGUAGUAGUAGUUUUUCUAUCAAGGGAGGCAGCUGAAGGGCAAAAAAACAACAAAGAACAUUGAAAAAAUUAGCCUGCCAAACCCUGCCCUAGCAAAAGCAUGAGAGGUCACGAGAGGUCAACUUCAGGUGGAGAGGUGUCUAGUAAUAUAUAAGUUAUCCAUUGGGAGAAAUAUAGCAUAGUAGUAGUAGUAGUUGAGGUGUCUAGUAAUAUAUAAGUUAUCCAUUGGGAGAAAUAUAGCAUAGUAGUAGUAGUAGUUGAGGUGUCUAGUAAUAUAUAAGUUAUCCAUUGGGAGAAAUAUAGCAUAGUAGUAGUAGUAAUGACAGACGGGGUGGAGAUAUCUUUUUAUUGUGUAUGUAUAUAUAUAAUUUCUGUACACUGUGGAAGUUGGCCGUGGAUUCCUGGACAAACGGCCUCGAGAAACACGUCACCCAAAUUCACCCCAAGAGCCACCAGUUUUUCGGUUGUGGGACGCUGACCGACAAUAAUAAUAAUAAUGAUAAUAAUAAUAAUAAUGAUAAUAAUAAUGAUAAUGAUACACUGACCAGUUCAAAAGUUGUGGUGAUGAUGGUACUGGAUAGAGACAGGAUAACAAUGAUGAUGAUGAUGGGAAUGAUGAGGAUGGUGACAAUAAUAAUAAUAAUAAUAAUAAUAAUAAUAAUAAUAAUAAUAAUAAUAAUAAUAAGACAGUCAUCCCUUGGUUCUCACAGCUUAAGGUAUUUGUGGAUUUGCUUUUUUGUCUUGGCAAUAAAAUAAAGAAACUAAAUAAAAAAAUAAUUAAAAAUGAAAGUAUGUAUAUAUAUCCUGAUUUUGUGCAUUGAAUUCCACUUUUGUGCCAUAAAUUCUGUUCAGUAUAAUCCUUUUACUUUGUGCCAUAAAUUCUGCAAUAAAUUCUUCAUCCUUGUGCCAUAAAUUCUUCCACUUUUGUGCCAUAAAUUCUGUUCAGCAUAAUUCUUUUACUUUGUGCCAUAAAUUCACUAUACUCUUAACUGCUCCCUUCUCUGUUCCAAGUUUAGCUCAGUUCAAGAAGGAAAGACAGCCGUGCUCUCUCCUGGCAUCUAUUCUUUCAUGGGUCUUAUAACUCCUGUGAAAAUCAAGGGAUGGCUUCAUAAUUUAGCUCCUUGGUGUGGGGUGUAGGUGAGAAAUGGAGGAGGUAGGUAGGUAAGGAGGAAGAGAGGGAGGAAGGGAGAGGAGGAGGGAGGGAAGGGCAGACAGAGUGAGCCUUCAGAGCCUAAAUGAGACUAGAAAAUGUACAAAACACACAAAAAAUUAGGCACUGUGAAGGCUUCUGUCUAAAGUGUCAACAAACCAAAGUACAGAAGAAAAUACAUCCACAUAAUGAAGGUGAUCCUGAUGUUGUUAUUUGGUUGUGUAUGACGAGUGUUUGCCGGGGCAGAAAAAACACUAAAAAAACGAUGAUAAAUUAGAACUUCCUGUAGUAACGCACUAACUUAAUGGGAACGAGUGAAGUAUAUACAAAAGAUGGGUCUGUUAGGCUGCCUUUGAGUGGUAAUGAUUAAGGAACGGUUGGGUAGCUUGGGGUCUGCUGGUGAGGGGGGUGUAAGGGGGGGGGAGUUAUCCAUGGAGGCUGUCAGUUAUCAAUGGGGUCUGUCAGUUAUCCACAGGGGCUGCGUGACGAUACAGACUUGUCAAAUUUACCGUAACAUCAAGUAUCAUUCUCUUUGUCAUAGAAUUAACCGACAGGGCUGAAGGUAUCUCUAUGGGUUACUCAGCCACUCCCCUAACUAUGCCACUUGUAAGGAGGAAAUGAGACAGUCUAAUCAUAACUACAGCAAGGAGUUUCAACAAAUAUCAAAUACGAAUAUUGAAUUGUCUAGACGAAAUAUACGAACCUGGUCAAAUUAAUUGUACGUAAUGCCAGUGUGAGUGUUGCUGUGCCUAGCCGUAUGAAAGGAGGUCACAUAAUAGCAAUUUUAAAGGUUCUUCCACCUCUUAUGAUGUACUUUUUGAUAUCCAUUUUGUAGUAAGGUGACCAGAACUGAACCACUUAACCAAGGUGACUCUACCCCCGCCGAACUGCCAGAAAAAGAAAGUCUCGUAAUAGUAGAAUUUUAAAGGUUCUUCCACCUCUUAUGACUUACUCCCUGACAUCCAUUCUAUAGUAAGAUGACCAGAACUAAACUGCAUAACCAAGGGCACUCCACCCCCCCCUCACGCCUCACCAGGUAACAGAUACACAGGUACGUAAUUUAGCAGCAAUGUGACGCAACAAUAGCUUGAAAAAAUAUAUAUAUACAGGUACUGGGGACACCCUUACUCUGGGGUCCCACUCUUUAAGUAAACAAGGAUGAGGCGAUGGAGGGACUGUGUGUGAUGGGUGAAUGGAUGAGUGAAUGGGUGAUGUGAGGAGAGAGAGAGAGAGAGAGAGAGAGAGAGAGAGAGAGAGAGAGAGAGAGAGAGAGAGAGAGAGAGAGAGAGAGAGAGAGAGAGAGAGAGAGAGAGAGAGA
Eriocheir sinensis (Chinese mitten crab) is the source of this 2841-nucleotide long non-coding RNA. RefSeq lists it as uncharacterized. The transcript is spliced from 2 exons. Lineage: Eukaryota; Metazoa; Arthropoda; Malacostraca; Decapoda; Varunidae. The record is from RefSeq and is a predicted model, not a curated record.